This 383-nucleotide ribosomal RNA is filed under the name Hyalomma rufipes. Its description in RNAcentral is "partial large subunit ribosomal RNA". The stretch from base 239 to 383 matches the Rfam family "Bacterial large subunit ribosomal RNA", at positions 2473 to 2618 of the family's 2925-position model. The record is from RNAcentral. Lineage: Eukaryota; Metazoa; Arthropoda; Arachnida; Ixodida; Ixodidae.
GAAUGCUAAAAGAAUGGAAAUUUAAAAAAAAACUUUUUUAAAAAUAAAAAUUGAAUUUUUUUUAAUUUGUGCAAAAACAAUUAUAUUUAUUAAAGACAAGAAGACCCUAAGAAUUUAAGAUUUUACAAUUAAAAAGUUUUUUUUUAAAAUCUUGAUUGGGGCGAUCAAAAAAUAUUAAUAACUUUUUAAAAUUUAAAUUGAUCUAUUAUUAAUAAACUAAUGAAUUAAAUACUCUAGGGAUAACAGCGUAAUAAUUUUUGAUAGAUCUUAUUGACAAAAUAGUUUGCGACCUCGAUGUUGGAUUAGGAUUCUUUUUUAAUGAAGAAGUUAAAAAAAGAAGUUUGUUCAACUUUUAAAUUCCUACUUGAUCUGAGUUCAGACCG